GAUGAACGCUGGCUACAGGCUUAACACAUGCAAGUCGAGGGGAAACGACGGGGAAGCUUGCUUCCCCGGGCGUCGACCGGCGCACGGGUGAGUAACGCGUAUCCAACCUGCCUCUGACUGAGGGAUAACCCGUCGAAAGUCGGCCUAAUACCUCAUGGCAUCGUCUGCGGGCAUCCAACGACGAUUAAAGAUUUCAUCGGUCAGGGAUGGGGAUGCGUCUGAUUAGCUGGUUGGCGGGGUAACGGCCCACCAAGGCUACGAUCAGUAGGGGUUCUGAGAGGAAGGUCCCCCACAUUGGAACUGAGACACGGUCCAAACUCCUACGGGAGGCAGCAGUGAGGAAUAUUGGUCAAUGGGCGAGAGCCUGAACUAGCCAAGUAGCGUGCAGGAUGACGGCCCUAUGGGUUGUAAACUGCUUUUAUGCGGGGAUAAAGUGCAGGACGUGUCCUUCAUUGCAGGUACCGCAUGAAUAAGGACCGGCUAAUUCCGUGCCAGCAGCCGCGGUAAUACGGAAGGUCCGGGCGUUAUCCGGAUUUAUUGGGUUUAAAGGGAGCGUAGGCCGUGGAUUAAGCGUGUUGUGAAAUGCAGGUGCUCAACGUCUGCACUGCAGCGCGAACUGGUCCACUUGAGUGUGCACAACGCAGGCGGAAUUCGUCGUGUAGCGGUGAAAUGCUUAGAUAUGACGAAGAACUCCGAUUGCGAAGGCAGCUUGCGGGAGCACAACUGACGCUGAAGCUCGAAAGUGCGGGUAUCGAACAGG
This 760-nucleotide ribosomal RNA is filed under the name uncultured Prevotella sp. RNAcentral describes it as "bacterial SSU rRNA". It matches the Rfam family "Bacterial small subunit ribosomal RNA", at positions 28 to 776 of the family's 1533-position model. The record is from RNAcentral. Lineage: Bacteria; Pseudomonadati; Bacteroidota; Bacteroidia; Bacteroidales; Prevotellaceae.